GACGAACGCUGGCGGCGUGCUUAACACAUGCCAGUCGAACGGAAAGGCCCUGCUUUUGUGGGGUGCUCGAGUGGCGAACGGGUGAGUAACACGUGAGUAACCUGCCCUUGACUUUGGGAUAACUUCAGGAAACUGGGGCUAAUACCGGAUAGGAGCUCCUGCUGCAUGGUGGGGGUUGGAAAGUUUCGGCGGUUGGGGAUGGACUCGCGGCUUAUCAGCUCGUUGGUGGGGUAGUGGCUUACCAAGGCUUUGACGGGUAGCCGGCCUAAGAGGGUGACCGGCCACAUUGGGACUGAGAUACGGCCCAGACUCCUACGGGAGGCAGCAGUGGGGAAUAUUGCACAAUGGGCGGAAGCCUGAUGCAGCAACGCCGCGUGCGGGAUGACGGCCUUCGGGUUGUAAACCGCUUUCGCCUGUGACGAAGCGUGAGUGACGGUAAUGGGUAAAGAAGCACCGGCUAACUACGUG
RNAcentral lists this ribosomal RNA (468 nucleotides) under uncultured bacterium. Its description in RNAcentral is "partial 16S ribosomal RNA". It matches the Rfam family "Bacterial small subunit ribosomal RNA", at positions 28 to 507 of the family's 1533-position model. The record is from RNAcentral.